AUUGAACGCUGGCGGCAUGCCUUACACAUGCAAGUCGAACGGCAGCACGGGAGCAAUCCUGGUGGCGAGUGGCGAACGGGUGAGUAAUAUAUCGGAACGUGCCCAGUCGUGGGGGAUAACGUAGCGAAAGCUACGCUAAUACCGCAUACGAUCUAUGGAUGAAAGCGGGGGAUCGCAAGACCUCGCGCGAUUGGAGCGGCCGAUAUCAGAUUAGGGAGUUGGUGGGGUAAAAGCCUACCAAGCCGACGAUCUGUAGCUGGUCUGAGAGGACGACCAGCCACACUGGGACUGAGACACGGCCCAGACUCCUACGGGAGGCAGCAGUGGGGAAUUUUGGACAAUGGGCGCAAGCCUGAUCCAGCAAUGCCGCAUGCAGGAUGAAGGCCUUCGGGUUGUAAACUGCUUUUGUACGGAGCGAAAAGGCUCUCUCUAAUACAGGGGGCUCAUGACGGUACCGUAAGAAUAAGCACCGGCUAACUACGUGCCAGCAGCCGCAGUAA
Molecule: ribosomal RNA, 500 nt
Filed under: uncultured bacterium
Lineage: Bacteria
Description: partial 16S ribosomal RNA
Rfam family: Bacterial small subunit ribosomal RNA
Source: RNAcentral